This 4558-nucleotide long non-coding RNA is filed under the name Mus musculus (house mouse). RNAcentral's name for it is "long non-coding RNA chr16:13464798-13469356". Lineage: Eukaryota; Metazoa; Chordata; Mammalia; Rodentia; Muridae. The record is from RNAcentral.
AUAUCUGUACCAAGAGAACAGUGUCCAUCAGGACCUCCUCUCCACCUGGUGGCGCUAGAUUCAGGAAUGAAGGUGAUCCUGAUGGACUUGGAAACGCCUGUGAAAUCUCCAAGGCCAAGUUGUUCUCUCCCACCUAUUUAGACAGACAAACCUGGCUCCUUUGGAGUCCGCAGUGUGACUGAGCUUGCCUUUCAUUAGCUCCGCUCUCCCUGCCACACCAGCACACGGAACACCUACACUUGAUGUUCUCAUCUGAGAAGUAAGACCCAGGCUGGGGGAGAUGCACCCGCUCAGAGUCACCCUGUUCCUCCCCUCUGUGCCUGGUCACCUGUGUACCCUUCAAGCAGGAAAUUAGUGCUAUCAAGAGGCCAACAGUCCUCCCUAGAGUCCAACUGCUUGCCUGAUACCACAGAGCAGCUCAGCAACAACAUACAGCCCCGUUUCCUUAAGAAGUUGGUCCUUGAAACAAGGGAAACUGACUUUUUUUUUUUUAAGACAUGGUCUCAUAUACCCUAGGUUAGCUUCAGACUUGUUUUGUAGCUGAGGAUGACUUGAAUUUCUGAUCCUCCAAAUUACAUUUUCAGAGUGCUGUUGGGAUUUAAGAUACAUGCCAGCAUCCCUAGGUUAUGUGGUGCUGGAGAAAUAAUCCAGGCUUCACAUGUUAGCCAAGUGUGUCCUAACUUCUACAUUUCCAGUCCUGAAAUGGUCUCACUCUAGUGUUUGUUAGUUUUGUUUUAGGUGGAUCUGUUGUUGUUGUUGCUGUUGUUUGUGGGUGUGUUGCUAGAAUUCAUGUAGCCCAGUCUGGCCUUGACAUUGCUUUGUAGCCAAAGCUGGCUGGCUUUGAUCAUGUGUCUACCUCCCAAGUGCUGGAUUAUAAGCAUGAGCCUACACCUGGGUAGAAGGUAGCAGCUCCCUUGCAUCCCCAGAAGGCAUGCACAUGCCCUCUCAUCUUGGACUGCAAGGUGCUUUAGUCCUGGGAAAUUCAGAUACUAAACCAGAAAGGCCCAAUUUAGCUAUCAGCUGCUCUGCUUACAUUUAAUCCCACAGACGGGGACAUGGCUAAAGGGUGUUUCUAAGAGACAAACUCCGGGGAUGAUCAAUUGAGAACAAUUUACAAGAUCCUUUCAAAUUUGAAGCUCCAUAUUUGUGACACCCAUGAACCACCUGUGUGUCCCCUCCACUGCCUAGGGCCCUUCCUCAUAGCCAUUCUAUCUGUUACUGUCCAAUAGCUGAAGUCAUUUCUCUAGUCUAAAAAUAGCAGCACCCUAACUCAGUGGAUGAACCACAAAAGCUCUUGUUUUCCCAUUACUUUAGGAUAAACCAGAGACUUUGCAUGUCCACGGCUUGGGCCAGGCUCCCUUAAGACUGUUUGGCUGGGAUCUUAUCCUUGUAACCAUUUCCUCCCUCCCUCCCUCCCUCCCUCAAAUCCUUGAUUCCUAGCCUUACCCAUUCCUUCUAGUAUCAGCACAGUUCUAGUCAAAGAUCUAGUGGUCUACUCACCUAGUUAUCUACAUCUUGGAGCUAGGGAGAUAGAUGGCCCAGCUGGUAAAGUGCUUACUGCUCAGACAUGAGGACCUAAAUUCAACCCCUAGUAGUGCAUAAAGAGCUGGGCACCACCAUGCCCCAGUGCUAGGGAUGCAGAGACAUGCAAAUGGGGUUUCCUGGCCAGCCAGCAAAGGCUUUUCAGUAAGCCCCAAGUUCCAAAUGAAAAACCCUGUCUCAAAAGUGAGGUGGAGAGCCAAAUGUGGUGGAGCUCUCCUUUAAUCCCAGCACUCAGGAGGCAGAUCUCUGUGAGUUCAAGGCUAGCCUGAUCUACACAGUGAAUUCCAGGACAUCCAGGGAUGGUACAUAGAGAAACCCUGUCUUGAAAAACAAAAUAAUAACAACAAUAAACUGCAUUGUCAUUGGCUAGCCUGCCAGUCCAUGGGCCAGCACUUCAGUAGCUAACGUGUCAGGCCAAGGGGUCAUUGUUAAUGGCUAGCUUGUCAGUCCAAGCCCACGUCUUUGAAACUCAUUUCUACUUUACAGCUCCUGGCUGGUGACAUGUGGAUGACACUCUAUAACUAUCAGAUGGUCCCACAAAUACCAACAUUGCUGCUCCAUCUGAAUCAAAUCCUCCAUACCCACAAGGGUUGUUUGUCCUCUUUUCUGCCUGAUGUCACAGCUGGGAUACCUUGAUGUCACAAAGUGGAAGAUGAAGAGGCAUAGUCUAACAUGUGGAAGAAAAUGUGAUGCUGGGGUCCAGUUUUUCUUGAGUGGUUGUGCAUUUCUAUCUGCUUUUCUUAGCUCUGUUCAUUUCCCUGCUCCAGUAUUCACUUGCUGUUGCCAGGGACCCAUGAGCCUCGGAGUUGAAGUCAAGAUAGCUCCCUGGCUCUGGAUUUUGCAGUAAUGAAUGCACCCACCAAGGUAAUAAUAAACUCGCAGUCUCAUUACUUGCCUGCUCACUAAUUCCCUUCGUGUUUCUCUGCCCCUUUCCUCAAAUGGAUUCCUGAGUUCUUCCAGAUUGCUGGUUGCUAAGCUAUCAAGUUCCAGGUUCUGAAACCUGGCUGCUCAUUGGUGGAGAGUUCCUGGGCUGUUCCAAUCAGGAGGCGGCAGAGAAAGGCAUUCAUUCACUCCAGGAGUUGGGAUUUUCUAGCAGUUGAUGUCAAGCGAAGGUCUUUGACUAGCACUACAGGAUUUGCUGUACUCUUAAGCUGACUGAGGAGGGUCACAGGUUCUAGAAUGUUCCCCCAGGAAGAUGAGGGGCCAUAGAUGGACAAUGUGACUUCCCACCCCGGGGCAGCAGAGAUACCCUCAAGAGAUCCCAGGAUUAAACUGCAAUGUCCACCUCACAGCUUGGUUAGUGAUGACAGCAGGAAGUUCAGGAAACUGAAUGACACUAAGCUUGGGGUGCUUGCAAUGAGGGCCUUAUUUGCAAAGGAGCUUGAACUCCUAAGCAUCCCCUAGUCCUUGAGCAGCUGGGACAAUAUAGGCUGCCACAGGUGGCUAUAAAGGACUAUAAAAUAUAUGAGUGGAAGAGCACUUACCUCAGCUCAGCUUCACCAGGAACGUCGUCUCCUCCCAUUCAGAAGGUGCCCUGGACUUGUGGAGACCAGGAGGGAUGGCUGUAGACUGUAGCUUCCUUCCUUCAGAAAGAAGGAAGCCAUGUGACCCAGACCUGGUUCUGAGACAGUCACAUGGCUAAGAUGAACCGAUUAGAAUUUUCUCUGCUACUUUUCUGCCAGAACUAUAGGAAAAGACCUCAUACACUGCACUGCUUGUGAACACAUGUGGAAGAUGUUUGAAAAAAUAGAAAUUCUCAAAAGAUACAGAGCCCCCGAGCUCCAGCUUAGGUUAAACCAGAUCCAUGUCCCACAUCUAAUAGAAAACACCAAGCUUGGUGUGUGCAUAUGCAUGUGUGUGUGUGUGUCUAAGAAGCAGGAACAUAUAUAGAUUCACUGCAUGGUACCCACCUAUAUGUCAGGUGAUUUGCAUACAGUCCCAUAUAGGGCCAUUAAGAUCAAUCUAGUACUCUAGUAUGUUACAGUAUUGCAGGCUGGGAACUGAGACUCCAAGGGGUACAGGUGCCUUGCCCAGAGGACAUUGUCUCGGUAUGCUCAAGGAUUCCAGUCUGUGCUAUCUAAAGCUUAACCAAUUCAACUCGUCCGAAAUGGUCUCUUCCAAACUGAUAGCCCUCAAGCCUGCCAUCUUUCCGUCUAGCAGACUCACUAGAAGCCAGGUCCCGUCAGAUCUCUUCUUGCCCCUCUGUACCCCCAUAUCUAAGCCUCACUGAGCUGGUCCAUCACCAUCCCUCUGUCCACCAUUUCUGUGCAGUUCUGUGGAAGAGUGCUUUCUCCUGCCCUCUCCCCAUGAUGCCUUGGCUGCUGUAAUUUCUCUCUUGGCCUUCUAGAACUAUCUCCCUCUUGUUUGCCCAUCCCUCAUGUCUAUACCUUCCUCCUCUCCAGGCUAUCUCUCCACGGCACCCACAAGGAUUGUCUCAAAUGCCAACCUGGGUGGUGGUGAUGUCAUAAUGUAAUGUCAUACGAGGCAUUCCCACCUUUGGGAACCUCCUGAGGAUUGGUCAGUCCCGGCUAGGGACACAGCUCUUAGACUUUGAGCUAGACAACCAGGAGGACAGGAGGACCUAGUAUCCUGCCUCCAUCAGCCCAUCAUUUAUGCAAAUGCUACUUAGUUGCCGUCUAGAUGCAGGAUGCUGUCUGCCCUGUUAAAUGCUGUGUGAACCCAGAUGGAAGCUGAGCAGACAUCACACUCGUGAGCAGCUCCCCUUCCUGUGAGCAUCUCCCCUUCCUGUGAGCAUCUCCCCUUCCUGUGAGCAUCUCACCUUCCAGAGUUAGGAGCUAAAUGAAAAUUUCUUUUUGAGUUACCUGACCUUGAGUACUUUGUUAUAACAGAAACCAGACAGAGGCAGGAUAAUGGUGUGAGUGUUGGCAGGCAGGGUACUCACCUGCAGAUGGAGGGAAGACAUGGAGGACAAGGCCUGGAGAAACUGUUAUACGUGGUCCAGGGUCCUAGAUAAGCUGGUGUGCUCUAAAAGCAGAGUUUAUGGGAACCAAGCCAG